UCAUUUCACGCCCGGCGGAGCGCGGAAACGGAUAUACCGAUAACUCCUAACUUGAUGGAUAUCCGCGCUUCAGGAAUCGAAGGCAUCAAGUUUUCCCAUAGCUAUUAGUAUAGUUAUUCAUGGUUUCCUCUCAAGGAAAAGUCAAUGCACUGGCUACACAUCGAGAAGCGUGGAAACGCGUGAUAUUAUUUUGAUUUAAAGGAAAUCAACAGGUGAUCACCGACAGACGGGUAGCGAGUGUCGAAAUCUAGAGGCUCGCCUCUCUACCUGUUUCGGGAUCAUUUUCGAUGUUAUCCCGCAACAUAUGCCCGACAAGGGGCAGAUGGUAAAAAAGCGUUGAGCCAAAGCAGCAGCGUGUGACACGGGACAGUUUAAAGGGCCGUGGUGCUGCUCAUCGGGCCAACCACCAAUCACUGCUUCUUUUUUGAUACAAUGAUGAUGCACACGAACACACAGGGGCACAUUACUCUCUAAUUAUCCGUCGAUUAUCUUUUAAUAGAAACUCGCACUUUGGCAAAAUUUCGGAGGGCUUCUGUUAAAUCGUUCGCCGGAAGUAAAGACCAUUAAUAAAUAAAUAAUUACAGAGAACGAAAAAGCAUGUCUUCACUACAAUAUCAUCAUUACUAAUACACAAAACAAAUACAUCAUCAAUUAUAAAAAAUUAAAAAUUAUAAAAA
Long non-coding RNA from Apis dorsata (giant honeybee), 677 nucleotides. RefSeq lists it as uncharacterized. The transcript has 2 exons. NCBI's taxonomy places the organism in Eukaryota, Metazoa, Arthropoda, Insecta, Hymenoptera, Apidae. The record is from RefSeq and is a predicted model, not a curated record.